Molecule: non-coding RNA, 42 nt
Filed under: Alexandrium minutum
Lineage: Eukaryota; Dinophyceae; Gonyaulacales; Pyrocystaceae
Source: RNAcentral
UUUUUUUUUUUUUUUUUUUUUUUUUUUUUUUUUUUUUUCCGC